Molecule: non-coding RNA, 2451 nt
Organism: Urocitellus parryii (Arctic ground squirrel)
Lineage: Eukaryota; Metazoa; Chordata; Mammalia; Rodentia; Sciuridae
Source: RefSeq, a predicted model, not a curated record
GGAGCCACCAACAGGUUUUGAGCUCAGGAGGAUCAUGAUAUGAUGGUGUUUGGAUGGGAUUCCUCUGCCUGCACCGAGAAGCGUAGACUGCGGGGGUGGGGGAUGGGGGGAAGACAGGGAACAGGAAGCCAGGUAGAUUGCACCUGCAUUCACCUGUGAAAUAGAGGACAGUGGUUUGGACAAGAAUGGUCAUAAUAAAGAGGUGAUGGAGGUGUAGGCCCUGAGUGACCAAGUGAGCAGAUGUCCUUGCUGAUUUGUGAUGGACAUUUCAAAGUGAAAGACACAAAAUGUGUGCUGCUCCAAAUCACUGAGCUUGGAAGGAAGUGUGCAGAAAGCUCCAGCCUAUUCUGACAAUUGGGUAUGACGUGCAGACACAGAUGGAUUUGAAACCCACGAACCAGAUGAGGUCACCUUCAGCACAAGUGUUAAUGACAACCAGGAGGGGCUUGAGGGCUGAGCUUGGAUAAGGAGAAGAAAGGAAGUCCAAGGGAAGGAGACUGUUAAGGACUUAAUGUUUGGUCCCCACAAAAUUCGUGUCAUUCGUUGCCUUGAUCACCUACCUGAAGAGUAUAUUUACUGGCUGAUUGAUUUCAAGUCUUCCCUGUUCCCAGAAUCAUAGUUUCAUGAGGACCAGAACGUUAUGCUUUGAGGAGGGAGAAGAAGCUCUAUAAUGAAGACCUAGGAGUGUGGGUGACUUAAGAGAACCAGACCUUUGGACAGCUCACAAGGCCCAGAAGCCUCACGGUCAUGAAUUAAAACACCACCUAUUUAGAAACGUGCCACUCUGUAGAAUUGUUCUGUCUUGUUUCUGCACAGUCACAAGAGGUUAGGAGAAGAAAAUCCAUGAGAUGCCUAAUGACAUGCUUGGGUUGCCCCCUGAACAAAAUUGUGGAAUAUGUUUUGUGAGCCCCCAAGAGUAAUAAUUAGCCAACUUUGCCCCCAAGAUACCUGUCCACACCAAUAUCCCACAUUUUCUAUGAGACACUGGUGUUUUCUUUUUAGGAAACUCAAAGGACCCGUCUGGACAGACUAGGUCACCCACGUUACAGAAAGCUGAACAACCAGAAAAAGAAAAAGAAAACAUUUUUAAAAGCUGUAUAAAGUWUGAGUGUUUGAUCUGCCUCUUCAGGAUGAAGCUACCUUAAAGACCAGAAGAGUCUUUGUUUAUAACAAGUGAAGUUUUGUAAUCGUGGCAACUAAUUUAAGAGGAUCACAAGGCAACAGUAACGUCUCACUUGCCGAGUGACCAAAAAUGCAUUCUCUGGAACAAAUUAAGACUCAUCAAGGUCAUGUUCUGUCCUUUCUAGGAGCUGCCUUGCGUUCACAGAGAAUGUGGCUCUGGUGGCCCAGCUCCUCAAUAUCAUAUUAAACUAUUGUCGUGCAUUUCCUUGCAGAGGACACUGGACCCAGCAUCCCUGAUCAGCCCUUGGAGGUGUGCAAUGUGAACGGAUCUCAGAGGCUUGGCACAGCUUGAAUCCUCCUCCAGCCCUGACAGCAUCAUGGCUGGCUGCAGCUGUGUCAUGUCAUCUGCUCUACAGGACCCAGGACAGCCCAGCAGAAACUAGCUGAAAGGUAGCUGGGCAGGAUGGAGGAGGAAAAACAGAAAGCACACACUGCUCGUGAACUUGUACACGGAUAUAAUACACACGACUUCACGAAGCCCGUUGUCAUGUUUCACAGCAGGCCUGCCUUGGGGGUCGAGCUGACGUCGGCGAGUGGUGAUACAGUCUACCAAGGAAGAGUCAUCCCUGCCUCCUCUGCUGCAUUUCUAGAGCUUCUGAACACUUCUGUUAUAAAGGAGCCUGUUAUAUUGUUGACCUGACCAUCUCCCAAUCAAACCAGGACUCUGGGAGGAUUAGGAUGGCCUUUUAUUGUCUUGUCAUUUACACAAAGCUUGGACGUGGUGAAUGCCCUGCUGAAUUAAAUGGGACUGGAUGGAUUGAGAGGGAUUGGACGAAUGAAAUGAGAUUAGGUGGUUGUGUUGGAUUAGAGUAAAACGGAGUCUCUGAAUCCACUGGUUGGUGCACGGUGUCAGUAAAUGACCUUGGGUAGAACGUGGCAUAAGGUUGAACUAGCCUGGACGGGACCUUGGAUUUGGAUCGCCAGGGUGCCAGGAGUGGGAGCCAGCAGAUACAACUGACUGCAGAAACAGACACAAAAGAUUUCAGGUGUUUGGAUGAUCAGAGAGAGUGUGUAUAGGCCAGACACACAGGAGAGAACUCGUGGAAUCCAUGGGUCAGUGAUGAUACUUACAGGUGAGAAAAUUGAGGCCCAGGUAGAAGAAAUGAGUGGUCCCACGUCAUACAGAGUCAUCAUCCAGUCCGCUAUGACUUGGAUGUGGUUUGACCUGCAGCAGUUCCCAUGGAACCUUGGCCCCCUGUGUCCUGCAGUGAGGAGGGGGUGGACCCUCAACAAGSGAGGCCUAGUGAGGAGUGGUCACUGGGCAGGCUA